This 254-nucleotide ribosomal RNA is filed under the name uncultured bacterium. RNAcentral describes it as "partial 16S ribosomal RNA". It matches the Rfam family "Bacterial small subunit ribosomal RNA", at positions 524 to 776 of the family's 1533-position model. The record is from RNAcentral.
UACAGAGGGUGCGAGCGUUGUUCGGAAUUACUGGGCGUAAGCGCGCGCAGGCGGCUCUUUAAGUCUACCCGUGAAAUGCCGGAGCUCAACUCCGUGCACGCCGGGGGAUACUGGAGAGCUGGAGACGAGUAGAGGCAAGCGGAAUUCCGGGUGUAGCGGUGGAAUGCGUAGAGAUCCGGAAGAACACCGGAGGCGAAGGCGGCUUGCUGGGCUUGGUCUGACGCUGAGGCGCGAAAGCGUGGGGAGCGAACAGG